AAGGCCUCGGUUGUAAGCCUUUGUACGGGAAGAAAAGCGUGCGGGUAAUAUCCGUGCGUCAUGACGGUACCGUAAGAAUAAGCACCGGCUAACUUCGUGC
RNAcentral lists this ribosomal RNA (100 nucleotides) under uncultured bacterium. RNAcentral describes it as "partial 16S ribosomal RNA". The record is from RNAcentral.